UGUAUCGCAUUCAACGCACGGGGGUUUCUAUGUGUUGCAUGCCUAAUAGAUGGCCUCGUUUUGACGAAUAUAUGUCUAUUUUCUUCUGGUGUCGCCACAUGCUAGGGGAGAUGAACCUUCAAUUAGAAUUUUGUGAUCCACUCUUUUGAUGGCACACGCCUUGAUUUUGUGGCGCAUUCAGUGUUUGCUUGUCUCUAGAUAUGGAACCUUGUGUGGGCAUCAGAUCUUUUAUUACCCCUCCUUGUUUUGCCCUUGUUAAGCUUUUCAAAAACGAUUUCCCCAACAUGUUUUUAACACGUGGGGGUGGUCAUAUCAAGACUAUGAAUGCAACCUGGUUGAUCUGGCAGUAGUCAUAUCCUGCCAUAGUCAUAU
Molecule: unclassified non-coding RNA, 372 nt
Filed under: Xerochrysum bracteatum
Lineage: Eukaryota; Viridiplantae; Streptophyta; Magnoliopsida; Asterales; Asteraceae
Description: partial contains external transcribed spacer and 18S ribosomal RNA
Source: RNAcentral